AUUUAUGUAGUUUAAUUAUAUAGAAUAAUAAUUUGUGGAAUUAUUGGUGAAUAUGUAUUCUUUAAAUC
This 68-nucleotide transfer RNA is filed under the name Caystrus obscurus. Its description in RNAcentral is "tRNA-His". The record is from RNAcentral. Lineage: Eukaryota; Metazoa; Arthropoda; Insecta; Hemiptera; Pentatomidae.